UACAGAGGAUGCAAGCGUUAUCCGGAAUUAUUGGGCGUAAAGAGCUCGUAGGCGGUUUGUCGCGUCUGCCGUGAAAGUCCGGGGCUCAACUCCGGAUCUGCGGUGGGUACGGGCAGACUAGAGUGAUGUAGGGGAGACUGGAAUUCCUGGUGUAGCGGUGAAAUGCGCAGAUAUCAGGAGGAACACCGAUGGCGAAGGCAGGUCUCUGGGCAUUAACUGACGCUGAGGAGCGAAAGCAUGGGGAGCGAACAGG
Molecule: ribosomal RNA, 253 nt
Filed under: uncultured bacterium
Lineage: Bacteria
Description: partial 16S ribosomal RNA
Rfam family: Bacterial small subunit ribosomal RNA
Source: RNAcentral